Molecule: long non-coding RNA, 2236 nt
Filed under: Nicotiana benthamiana
Lineage: Eukaryota; Viridiplantae; Streptophyta; Magnoliopsida; Solanales; Solanaceae
Description: long non-coding RNA (NBEN_LNC025436)
Source: RNAcentral
UUUAACGUCUAUUUCUGUCUUUUAUGCAAAGGUACGUUCUCUUUCCUUUUUCUUUAAUUUGUUUAGAAAUUCAACGCCAAUAAUAGUUCAUCCUUUUUCAAAAUUUUUGUCGGGAUACAUUAAAUAAGGAGAGGGGUAAAGAGAUGGAUGAGAAAAUUUUACGGUGCAAAAAGAUAAAUAAACGGAUUUUUAUGACAGUUAUAUUCGUUCAACGUGAAAUAAGAAAUCGAUUCUUCUGUAUUAAAAUUUUUAAAAUUCAUCUUGGUAAUAGAAGUUCUAAAUCUGAAAUAAGAGUUUUGGUAAUAUUAUAUUUCAUUUAGCCUAAAUUGUUAUGCAUGCACUUAUUUAGUGAAAUUUAAGUGCUAAAAUGAAAGACUAUAAUAUUACAAUGAAAGACUAUAAUAUUACACGAUAUGCUAUAUAAGAGAUAUCAUAUUUUUAAUGGUUGCCAUGCAAAAUUCUCAAGUCAAUUUUUUUUAAUUCUUCUUUCUCUUACUGAUGUUUGUCUCACGAUCGAUACGUAUUCGGAUUUUAAACGGUUUAAUCUUGAUAAAAAAAACUAAUUUUUUUUUCAAAUGCUAUUUAGUAGUAGAUGUUAGUAUUCGUUUUCUUAGUAUUGUCUAUGUAUGUUUUGUCCUUAUGGGUUUAUCAAUUCAUGAUGGAAGUAAUGUGUUGUGAAAUUUGGAAAGAGGAUAAGAUUAGAGUGACUUCGAUAUGAUUUCUUAUAUUUUCUUCUUUCUUUGUGUAUCGUCUUGGUUUUUCCUUUGUUAAAGAUACCAUCUAUUUAUAAUUUUUUGGUUUAGGAAAUUUUAACAGACACUGCAAAAAUAAUACAAACAUUUGUAAAAGACGGGUCAUUCCAAGGACCUAGAAUUUAUAAUUAUGCAAUUAUGUCAGGGAGAAGUGUUCAAGUUCUUCACAUUAGAGGUACAUUGUAUAAUUUUCAAGUUGUCAUAUGUAGAAAGGUAACAUGUAAUGAUUAUACUUUUUAGAAGUAAUUUAUGUGUUAUUUCAUAUGGCUCAUCAACUACAUCAAAUUCAAAAAGUUUCUCUACCUAAUAAACUUACGGAGGAAAAAAAUUAUGAUAGUUGCACGAAAUAAAAGUCAUAUUAUCAGUGCAUGAAUUGGUUGAAUUAUUCUUUUUGUCACAACUGAUUAGCUUUCACUUUAUGAUUCUUCAUAGCGAUAGUUACCAAAAUUUUAACAUUAAGCAUGGAUAAAUUCAAUUUCGUAUUUCACCGAGGGUUUUGUCAAAAGAACCAGGAUUGUUAUCUCAUUAUUUUACAAUUCAAAGUCUCAAUUAGAUUUUAAAUAUGGUAUUAUUUAAAUUAUAGGUAAAUAAGUAAAAAAAAUUAAUCGUCAAUAAAUAGGAAAAAUGCACAAAGCAGUAGAUAGUUAUAGGUAACUAAGUAAAAAAAUUAAUCGUCAAUAAAUAGGAAAAAUGCACAAAGAAGUAGAUAGAAAUAAUGGCGAUGUUAUACUUUAAAUUUUAAAAUAAGAUGAAAUAAAUAAUACAAAUAAAUAUUAUUGAUUAUUGAUAAAUGAAAUUGUGCUCAAGUGGAGGUGGUUUGUUAGCCCCUAAUAUUGAGACUUGACGGAUGUCGGGCAGAAUUCAUGUCAAGGGUUUGUGCAUUGCCCCUUGACAUGGGUUCGUUGAAGUGUUGGCAAGCAAUGUACAAGGCUGGCGUGUGUCUAAGUUGGUGAUGGACUAGGCAAGGCAGCUAGGCAAGGCAGCUUGAGUGUUGGCAAUGCAGCCUUGGUUCGUGGGCAUCGGCAAUGGCAAACGGAAGCACGGCACUUGACAAAGGCAUGCACGGGUCAGUGGGACGAAUUAAUUUAUAGCAGGGUGUGGCUAUGAAAACAAGGACGAGGCAAGGUCCAAGGAAAAGCUGGCUGGAGACAAAAAACGUGGGCAAUGUUGGAGGCAAGUGUGCAUGGCAUGUGACGAAGUGGUGUGCAAGGCAUGUGACGAAGUUGAAGACAUGUGCCAAGCACAUGAGCUGUUGGCUACAAAGAACUGAAGAUAACGCCAUUUCGUGGGAAGGGUUUGAAUUUUGAAUUCAAACAUAUUUGGCUCCUUAUUUUAGUUAAUACAUGUGCAUGGCACAUGGUAGAAACUGCCCAUAAUUGCCCCUUUGUAAACUGCCAUUGGCAGCCCCUCUUUAUAUGUUGUAUUUCGUUUUUGGCUAAGGCAAGUAGCAUAACAUAUGUGAGCCAAGUCUAAAACGUAAGUCC